This 73-nucleotide transfer RNA is filed under the name Danio rerio (zebrafish). It matches the Rfam family "tRNA". From Rfam's summary of the family: Transfer RNA (tRNA) molecules are approximately 80 nucleotides in length. The record is from Rfam by way of RNAcentral. Lineage: Eukaryota; Metazoa; Chordata; Actinopteri; Cypriniformes; Danionidae.
GAUACAGUGGCUUAGUGGUUAGCACUGUCGCCUCACAGCAUGAAGGAUGCUGGUUCGAGUCCUGCCUGGGUCA